This 1137-nucleotide ribosomal RNA is filed under the name Penicillidia jenynsii. RNAcentral's name for it is "partial 16S ribosomal RNA". Lineage: Eukaryota; Metazoa; Arthropoda; Insecta; Diptera; Nycteribiidae. The record is from RNAcentral.
UUUAUAUUUAUUUAUUUAUUUAUUAUAUUUAUUAUAUUUAAAUAAAAUAUAUAAAUUAUUAAAAAUAGUUAUAAAAUUUUAUAUUUUUAGUAUUAAUUUAAGAAAAAAUAAAUUUAAUUAUAGUUUAUUAGUAUUGAAAAAGAAAAUUGAAAUAAUAUGAAAAAUUUUAAUUGAUAAAGAAAAAUUAAAUUUUUGUACCUUGUGUAUCAGGGUUUAUUAAAUAAAUUUUAAUUAAUUAAAUUUCUCGAUUUUAAAAGAUUUAAUAUAUUAUGAAAGUUAAAGUAAUAAAUUUAUUUUUAAUAGUAUAUUUGAAAUGAAAUGUUUUUCGUUUUUAAAGGUAUCUAGUUUAUUAAGAAAUAAAUUUAAUUUAGAAAUUUUAUAUUAUUAAUUUAAUUAAUAAAAUUAAUAAAUAUUUAGUUUUAAUAUUUUAUGGGAUAAGCUAUAAAGUAAAUAAUUAAAAAUAUUUAUUUAUAUAAUAAAAAUAUAGGGUUAAAAUUAUUCAUUAUUAGAUAAAAUGUAAUAAUUAAUUAUAAAUAAAUAAAUAAAAAUUUUUUAUAAUUUUAAUUUUUUAUUAAUAUAUAGUUUUUAAUUAAAUAAAGUUAAAAAUAAUGAUAAAAUUAGUAUAAAAUAAUUUAAUAAUAAAAUAAAUUGUUAGAUUUAAGUAAAGAAUUAGGCAAAAAUUUAUAUUCACCUGUUUAACAAAAACAUCUCUUUAUGAUAAAAAUAUAAAGUUUAACCUGCCCACUGAAUAUUUAAAUGGCUGCAGUAUAUUGACUGUACAAAGGUAGCAUAAUCAUUAGUUUUUUAAUUGAAAACUGGAAUGAAUGGUUGGAUGAAAUAUAAACUGUUUUAUAUAAAAUAUAUUAGAAUUUUAUUUUUUAGUAAAAAAGCUAAAAUGAAUUUAAAAGACGAGAAGACCCUAUAAAUCUUUAUAUAAUAAUUUAAAAAUUAAUUAUUUAGAAGAUUUAGUUAUUUUAAAUUAUUAUAUUUUGUUGGGGAGAUAAUAAAAUUUAAUGAACUUUUAUUUGUAAUAUCAUUGAUUUAUGUUUUUUAGAUUAAUUAUUAAUGCAUAAUAAAAUAAGUUACUUUAGGGAUAACAGCGUAAUUAUUUUGGAGAGUUCAUAUUGAUAAAAUAGA